This is a long non-coding RNA of Empidonax traillii (willow flycatcher), 350 nucleotides long. RefSeq lists it as uncharacterized. The record is from RefSeq and is a predicted model, not a curated record. NCBI's taxonomy places the organism in Eukaryota, Metazoa, Chordata, Aves, Passeriformes, Tyrannidae. The transcript is spliced from 3 exons.
GUACGCUGAGACUGUUCCUCCAGAGGAAACUGCAGCUCCCAUCCACACAGCACAGAGAAGCAGAUGUGGGUUAUUUCAGAAAAGCAGCACGGGUGGCCACACUUGCCAAUUGAAGGAGUCCACUCAGCCUCGAUGGAGCAGGUUGUGGCAAAGGAAGAAAAAUAGGACCUGGCCAUGUAAAAAGAAUGCCUACUGCUGAAACAAGUAAAGCAGAAGUCCUCAGCCUUCUCUUUUUGCCUCUCUGUGUUUGUUUUCUCUUCAACAGAAAUAGAGAUCCCUAUAAAUCAAUUUGAAACCUACUAACAAUACACAUUCUUUCCUAUAAUUCUCAUUUUAGGAAUCAGUGUCAU